CUGGCCCUGGCCCAUCACCUGUGCCAGCAAUAAGGCCAAAUGCCUCCUGCACUGGGGCCUCCAUCCUUCUCUCAGAUCUGCCAACACUGGGCUCUUCGGGAGUUCCCACGUUGUGGAAUGUUGAACUCUGAAGCUCUCUUGAUAAGAGCUAGUUCAGGCGCCCCAGCACUUUCCACUUGCUCAUCUCCCAGAUACUACGGCCACCUCCUUGUGCCAGACACUGAGCAGAAGCAGCAGCGGAGCAAAGUGCGGCUCUGCGAGAACAGAUGGGAACGUGAAACCAGUAACCACAACGCUCUGAAGAAGUGACUUCCCCAGGAAGAGGGCCUUUGGGUGUGUCUUUCCAACCCAGCGAAGGUGCCUGUCCCUUCUGGGGGUAUCAAAACCACUCUCCAGGACACCCCAAAAGCACUUCCCUCCUGCGCCUACAAGAAAACAGGGAGGCCAUGCAGCCUGCCAUGAGGAGCAUUCGCGAUGGGAGAGCCUGUUUUCCUGCAGCCAAAGGUUCGCCUCAAGCACCCACACGCCCAUCAGUCUGGGCACGGCCAAAGCAAUGCCGUAACCUGCGUGCCCUCGGCCUCUGCCCCUCCUGAGCUCACACCUGACCUGCCCCACCUGUUAGGCAAGGUGUGUAUGUCCCAAGAGACCCACAGUCUCCCCCGGGACUUCUCUGCCUCUUCCUGUAUGGUCUCACUCCCAGCCCAUUCCUUCCAGAGACGAAAUCUUGGACUUGACCACCGCCACCAUUAGACCUAUGCAGGUGGAGCUCCUUCCAGGGCUUUGCCUCCCGUGGUUCGGUUCAACAAAUACUUCCUGAGCAUAUCCUCUGGGUAAGGCACCUGCACUAUAAAGGACAGCAAGGCCUGGUUGCUACCAUCAGCCCACAAGGCUUCCAACAGCCUCACCCUACAUUUCAUGGAGAGGAGGAGCCCUGCAGUAUCCCAAGGUUCCUGGGACAACUGUCACACAGUGCACACCAGGCUGGAAUCAGGAGAAAGUGACUUCACAACAGUGUCUCCUGGACAUGGAGAAGAGAACCUGGGUUCAAGUCCUAGUUCUGAUACAUUCCAAUGGAUCUCAGCUCCGACAAGCCACACCUCCUCGCUGGGCCUCCCAGGAAACGCUGCUAUCCAGCAGGGAGGGCAAAAGUCAAGGAAGGAAGCUGACUGGGUGGGGUAAACAAAGUCCUAGUGUGCACGAGGCUUCCAGGGAGGGGUGGGGACUGUGGAAAUGAUUAGAUGUAAGCCGCAGUAGCCAGCACUUUUUUUUUUUUUUUAAACAGGCAGAGUGGACAGUGAGAGAGAGAGACAGAGAAAAAGGUCUUCCUUUGCCGUUGGUUCACCCUCCAAUGGCCGCCAAGGCCGGCGCACCGCGCUGAUCCGAUGGCAGGAGCCGGGAGCCAGGAGCGAGGUGCUUUUCCUGGUCUCCCAUGGGGUGCAGGGCCCAAGCACCUGGGCCAUCCUCCACUGCACUCCCUGGCCACAGCAGAGGGCUGGCCUGGAAGAGGGGCAACCGGGACAGAAUCCGGCGCCCCAACCGGGACUAGAACCCGGUGUGCCGGCGGCGCUAGGCGGAGGAUUAGCCUAGUGAGCCGCGGCGCCGGUCCAGUAGCCAGCACUUCUACUCGUCUACAGCCGCUCAACUCAACCAGCCCUGUGUUGCCAGGUCUUUUGGACAUGAGAGCCCUAGAAUACAGAUUUUUAUGUGAAGUUUCUUUUGAUCAUGAGCUCAAGGUUUUGUAACGUCGGGAGCCCUUUCUGAGUAGCUGCUUGGAGCCGGUUUUACAUCUGCUGUUGACCUUAGGAGCAUGCUCAGUUGUGCUGCUGUCCGGGAACUUCCAGAGCUGCUUCCCCAACCCUCCCCGCAGUCCCCUGACUAUCCCUGGAACUUUAUCUGGGAGACACUCAGCCUCUGAGGCUUUGUUCCAGAUCUGGGAAGUGAGCAGCUCAUCCUGAGGGAGACAAACUUGACGGAGUAGGGAUUUGUCCCACGGGGCCAGAGCUCCCCCAGAGCUGAUGUGUUGCGCUUGGCAUCAGCCAAGGCAAACUGGAUGCUGACCUCUCAGCUCCUGGAUCAGUCUCACCUUUGGCCAGUCUUUGGCCAGGCCCCAGCGAGUCUCCUCCUAUGCACAGCAUGUUGUUUAGGUCCAGGGCGCACCCCUGCUCCUGAUCCAAAUGCGAAGAUUCCUGGAGCGUGAGCUUCCUCCCCAUCCGCUGUCCUCCUUCCUGGGUGCUGGGGCUCUCGGUCUUUCCCUUCUCUGUGUCUCACCUACUGCUGCUCCUGCCCGGACCACUGUCGCUGGUGCUUUAAGGAAUUGAGCUCACCACCUGGAAACCAACCAGCUGUGGUGUGCUGUGGCCUGUGUGAGCAGUCACAGUCCCUCAGUCCCUCUCCUACUUGAUUUCAGAGGUUUCAAAAGGGUUUGGGACAUAAUCCCCAAUCCCAAACAUAAUCACAAUCCCGAAUGUCAUAAAACUGAAUGCUGAAAUCUUGAAAGUUCUGUCUCAAAAGCUGAAAAUACCAAAGGAUUAAAAUCUGGAAACAGGGCAUACAUUUGACUUAGUAGUUAAGACACUGGUUAAGAUACCCCUGGCCCAUAUUGGAGUACCUGGGCUCAAGCACUGGCUCCAGCUCCUGGCUCCAGCUCCUGACUCCAACUCCUUGCUAAUGCACACUCUGGGAGGAAACAGGUGAUAGCUCAAGUAGCUGGCGGCUCUCUAGGACUCAGAUGGGAGACCUGGAUUGAAUUUCUAGCUCUGUGUUUCAGCCCCAACAGAGGUAUUUCAGAGAUGGGGAGUGAACCAACAGGUGGGACCUCCCUCUCUUUCCCUCUGUCCUCUCUCUUUCUGCCUCUCAAAUUACUUUUCAAAAUCUGGAAAUUUAAUAAAUAGAACUCUUGAAAAAACAAUUUUAAAAAUUCUUUAAAAGACUUUCAUUUACAUUUUUCAAAGGGGAAACAUUCAAAUUUGGGAAACAUGUAAAACAGGAUACUUCCUAGGCUACAUUAAACAACAAAACAAACAAUCACAACACCUAUAUUUUCACAAGCAUAAACACCCAGGUUGAAUGGUGACAGUCCCACGGAUGCAACAGUCAGACUCAGACAACCCCUAUUCAUAAAGAAAUAGGUCAAAAAGUAAAAUGGAUAAAUGUCUGUGCCGAAGGAUGGUAACCUUGUGCACCCAGCUUUGUCAUCCGAAACACCACAGUCUUUCUGACGAGUUUGCUCAAAGACCACCAAGGUCACUAUCAUCCGCAGAUGUCCAGAGAGCCAAGAUGUCGAGAAAUUUUACCUUUCACAGAGGCAGAUGCGCAAAAAAGGCAUCUCUUCACUGACGGAGGAAGUAAUGACAUUCUUAUGUGCAGGCACGAUGCUGAUGCACAAAGUCCACGUGGUGAGAGCGUACCACCAUGGAGUCGAAUUUGCAACAAAUUCAUAAAAUUAGAACUCUCUAAAAGUUUGUGCGUCACUAUAAAUUGGCAAUGAUGUGAGGAGGAAAGAUAAAGAGGCAAACUGCAAAAAUUAACACCAAUGGCUUUACAUAGUGUGGGGAAAAAAAUGGAAUGAAAAUUUGACAUAUGGAAAAAAUUGUGCCGUAGGUAUUGACGAUGGGCAGUCGCACAGGAGCGGUCUGUGGGAGCUGGUGGCUUUCAUGAUUGUUAACCGUACUUUCCAGUCCUGGAGGGUGAUGAAUAGCUGUGCUUUUUCUUUUGAGGGUGUGGCUCUCCUUGGGAAACACAC
Oryctolagus cuniculus (rabbit) is the source of this 3742-nucleotide non-coding RNA. Lineage: Eukaryota; Metazoa; Chordata; Mammalia; Lagomorpha; Leporidae. The record is from RefSeq and is a predicted model, not a curated record.